Cololabis saira (Pacific saury) is the source of this 217-nucleotide long non-coding RNA. RefSeq lists it as uncharacterized. Lineage: Eukaryota; Metazoa; Chordata; Actinopteri; Beloniformes; Belonidae. The record is from RefSeq and is a predicted model, not a curated record. The transcript is spliced from 3 exons.
UUCAGGUCUUGAUACAUGUGGACUACACAAAUGUCCAGAAUCUGUGUAGCAGCAACGGACUCAGGCAUAAGUGCUGGAGUGAAGGUGAGAGGACGGCUGGGGGACGUGUCCAGGAUGAAGCUCUACUAAGGUGCAGCAGGAGGGAUGGCUGACCUUUAUUGAUUGGAGCUGGAAGGUCCAGACCACUACACAUUCCCUCAGACAACCACAGAGACCA